This 433-nucleotide ribosomal RNA is filed under the name uncultured bacterium. RNAcentral's name for it is "partial 16S ribosomal RNA". It matches the Rfam family "Bacterial small subunit ribosomal RNA", at positions 29 to 507 of the family's 1533-position model. The record is from RNAcentral.
AACGAACGCUGGCGGCAUGCCUAACACAUGCAAGUCGAACGAGACCUUCGGGUCUAGUGGCGCACGGGUGCGUACCGCGUGGGAACCUGCCCUUAGGUUCGGAAUAACUCCCCUAAAGGGGUGCUAAUACCGGAUAAUGUCUUCGGACCAAAGAUUUAUGGCCUUUGGAUGGGCCCGCGUUGGAUUGGCGGGUUGGUAGGGUAAAAGCCUACCAAGGCGACGAUCCAUAGCUGGUCUGAGAGGAUGAUCAGCCACACUGGGACUGAGACACGGCCCAGACUCCGACGGGAGGGAGCAGUGGGGAAUAUUGGACGAUGGGCGAAAGCCUGAUCCAGCAAUGCGGCGUGAGUGAUGAAGGCCUUAGGGUUGUAAAGCUCUUUUACCCGAGAUGAUAGUGACAGUACCGGGAGAAUAAGCUCCGGCUAACUCCGUG